AAGGCAUUUCAUACUUGUGUUAGUGUGCACUAGUCUCAUCAAUUUUGCUCUGUUUCAUCAUUCUAGAUUAAUAAAAUUCAGCCUAACAUUUUUAUUUUAUUUUUUCCUAAGACCAUAAAAGGUACUUAUUAGUAGGAGAGAGAUGUUUAUUUAGAGAAAUGCCUGGAAAAGAGAUGCUAAGGAGUAAAUAACUCUGUUUUAACAGAAACUACCAGUUGAACCAUGUUGAACAUAGUGCUGCUCAAAUUUAUGCCACUAAAAGGACACCAAUGCCUACACUAAUGAAAAUGGAGGCAACAUGCCUCUUUUUGUUGUGUUCUAUAAAUAAACCUAAUAUAUCAAUACACAUAUUUAAUACAAAAAUAUUGAGAAAUUAUUCAACAUUUUUGUGUUGUGUGCCUCUGUAUUUAAAGCUGCCCAAAGAGAGAAAUACUAAUUUUGAUCAAUAAUUAAAUUGAUAAAAUAGCAACUUACUUCAAUCUAUUUAAUGAAAUGCUUUAUUUAAUAAGCUGUAUAACUGGCCGGCAGCUGUAUAAAUUUGGCCCGGCCGCUAUCCUGUCCACAUGCAGCCGUCAGCCCAGCACAGCCUCGGUGAUCACCGAAGGGAAGGGAACGAAGGGAAGGGAGGAAGCGGAGUGGGAGCCGCGCAGCAUGGGGCCAGGAGAUCACCGGCUUGGUGGUGCAGAAAGAGAAGAGGAUUUAAACUUCCAAAACACUAUGACAAAUCAGUUAUGGAAAAAUAUGCCUCAAAAAGAAGGGCAACUCAGAACAUGGCACAGAGAACUGCAGGACAAGUAUAUCGACAUAAUUAAUGCAGAAGUUUUCAAGUGAACCUGAACCAGCAAGAACUCUCCACCCUCUACUGUGAACUUGUUGCUUUGUUCUACAGAAUCUCAGCUUUGAUUAGAA
This 909-nucleotide long non-coding RNA is filed under the name Anser cygnoides (Swan goose). Its description in RNAcentral is "lncRNA (ENSACDG00005017770.1)". The record is from RNAcentral. Lineage: Eukaryota; Metazoa; Chordata; Aves; Anseriformes; Anatidae.